Molecule: ribosomal RNA, 558 nt
Filed under: Triticum aestivum (bread wheat)
Lineage: Eukaryota; Viridiplantae; Streptophyta; Magnoliopsida; Poales; Poaceae
Description: partial small subunit ribosomal RNA
Source: RNAcentral
GCGACCAUGGCCAAGGAGAAGACGGCGGCGUUGGAGCGUGCCAAGAAGGCGUCGGCAUCGGAGAAGGCGAAGGGGAGAUCCACCAGCCGCCGAGGAUCCUCGUCCAGAUCCCGCCUGCCGAAAGGCUGGGUCCAGGGCGACUGGAUCCAGUCGACCAUCACGGAGAAGGACCUCCUCGACAUGGCCGACGAGGGUUUGAUCCCUCACGGAGCCGCGAGGUUGCCGGGGAAGGAGUGGCAGCCACAGCCAGAAGAGGGUGAGUGUGUGCUCCUGGCCACUCAUGUCGAUCGGGGGUUUUCCUUGCCACCGAGCAUUUUCUUCCGGGGUUUCCUGAAUUUCUUUGGGGCGCAGCUCCACCACUUUACCCCAAACUCCAUUGCCUACCUUGCUGCGUUCGUGUCCGUGUGCGAGGGUUUCUUGGGCUGUCGACCGCACUGGGGUCUGUUCAAACGUAUCUUCACGUGUCGCUCUCAGACCGUGAAGAAGGCGAGCCCAGGUGACGAGAAGACCCGAGUCGUCCAAAUGUGUGGGGGCCUGGGGAUUCAGGUGAGGAACAAU